RNAcentral lists this ribosomal RNA (447 nucleotides) under uncultured bacterium. Its description in RNAcentral is "bacterial SSU rRNA". It matches the Rfam family "Bacterial small subunit ribosomal RNA", at positions 30 to 471 of the family's 1533-position model. The record is from RNAcentral.
AUUGAACGCUGGCGGCAGGCCUAACACAUGCAAGUCGAACGGUAGCACAGAGGAGCUUGCUCCUUGGGUGACGAGUGGCGGACGGGUGAGUAAUGUCUGGGAAACUGCCCGAUGGAGGGGGAUAACUACUGGAAACGGUAGCUAAUACCGCAUAACGUCGCAAGACCAAAGAGGGGGACCUUCGGGCCUCUUGCCAUCGGAUGUGCCCAGAUGGGAUUAGCUAGUAGGUGGGGUAACGGCUCACCUAGGCGACGAUCCCUAGCUGGUCUGAGAGGAUGACCAGCCACACUGGAACUGAGACACGGUCCAGACUCCUACGGGAGGCAGCAGUGGGGAAUAUUGCACAAUGGGCGCAAGCCUGAUGCAGCCAUGCCGCGUGUAUGAAGAAGGCCUUCGGGUUGUAAAGUACUUUCAGCGGGGAGGAAGGUGUUGAGGUUAAUAACCUCA